GACGGAGGGGGCUAGCGUUGUUCGGAAUUACUGGGCGUAAAGAGCGCGUAGGCGGUUUUGUAAGUUGGAAGUGAAAUCCCGGAGCUUAACUUCGGAAUUGCUUUCAAAACUAUUUAACUAGAGUACGGUAGGGGGUGAUGGAAUUCCAAGUGUAGAGGUGAAAUUCUUAGAUAUUUGGAGGAACACCAGGGGCGAAGGCGAUCACCUGGGCCGGUACUGACGCUGAGGCGCGAAAGCGUGGGGAGCAAACAGG
This 253-nucleotide ribosomal RNA is filed under the name uncultured bacterium. RNAcentral's name for it is "partial 16S ribosomal RNA". It matches the Rfam family "Bacterial small subunit ribosomal RNA", at positions 524 to 776 of the family's 1533-position model. The record is from RNAcentral.